GCCGCUGUAGCUCAGCCCGGCAGAGCGGCUGACUCGUAAUCAGCAGGUCGGGGGUUCAAAUCCCCCCAGCGGCU
Molecule: transfer RNA, 74 nt
Filed under: Methanomicrobia archaeon
Lineage: Archaea; Methanobacteriati; Methanobacteriota; Methanomicrobia
Also listed under: 1 other name
Description: tRNA-Thr
Rfam family: tRNA
About the family: Transfer RNA (tRNA) molecules are approximately 80 nucleotides in length.
Source: RNAcentral